GUGAGGAAUUUUCCGCAAUGGGCGAAAGCCUGACGGAGCAAUGCCGCGUGAAGGAUGAAGGCCUAUGGGUUGUAAACUUCUUUUCUCAGAAAAGAAUUAUGACGGUAUCUGAGGAAUAAGCAUCGGCUAAUUCUGUGCCAGCAGCCGCGGUAAGACAGAGGAUGCAAGCGUUAUCCGGAAUGAUUGGGCGUAAAGCGUCUGUAGGUUGUUUAAAAAGUAUUCUGUCAAAGAUUAGGGCUUAACCCUAGAUAGGCAGAAUAAACUUUUAAGCUAGAGUUUGGUAGAGGCAGAGGGAAUUCCCGGUGGAGCGGUGAAAUGCGUAGAUAUCGGGAGGAACACCAAAGGCGAAGGCACUCUGCUGGGCCAAUACUAACACUGAGAGACGAAAGCGAGGGGAGCAAAUGGGAUUAGAUACCCUUGUAGUCC
This 426-nucleotide ribosomal RNA is filed under the name uncultured bacterium. Its description in RNAcentral is "partial 16S ribosomal RNA". It matches the Rfam family "Bacterial small subunit ribosomal RNA", at positions 354 to 796 of the family's 1533-position model. The record is from RNAcentral.